ACGAUGAUGCCCAGCUUGCUGGGCGGAUUAGUGGCGAACGGGUGAGUAAUACGUGAGUAACCUGCCCUUGACUCUGGGAUAAGCCUGGGAAACUGGGUCUAAUACUGGAUACUACCUCUUACCGCAUGGUGGGUGGUGGAAAGGGUUUUACUGGUUUUGGAUGGGCUCACGGCCUAUCAGCUUGUUGGUGGGGUAAUGGCUCACCAAGGCGACGACGGGUAGCCGGCCUGAGAGGGUGACCGGCCACACUGGGACUGAGACACGGCCCAGAAUCAUACGGGAGGCAGCAGUGGGGAAUAUUGCACAAUGGGCGGAAGCCUGAUGCAGCGACGCCGCGUGAGGGAUGACGGCCUUCGGGUUGUAAACCUCUUUCAGUAGGGAAGAAGCGAGAGUGACGGUACCUGCAGAAGAAGCGCCGGCUAACUACGUGCCAGCAGCCGCGGUAAUACGUAGGGCGCAAGCGUUGUCCGGAAUUAUUGGGCGUAAAGAGCUCGUAGGCGGUUUGUCGCGUCUGCUGUGAAAGCCCGGGGCUCAACCCCGGGUCUGCAGUGGGUACGGGCAGACUAGAGUGCAGUAGGGGAGACUGGAAUUCCUGGUGUAGCGGUGAAAUGCGCAGAUAUCAGGAGGAACACCGAUGGCGAAGGCAGGUCUCUGGGCUGUUACUGACGCUGAGGAGCGAAAGCAUGGGGAGCGAACAGGAUUAGAUACCCUGGUAGUCCAUGCCGUAAACGUUGGGCACUAGGUGUGGGGGACAUUCCACGUUUUCCGCGCCGUAGCUAACGCAUUAAGUGCCCCGCCUGGGGAGUACGGCCGCAAGGCUAAAACUCAAAGGAAUUGACGGGGGCCCGCACAAGCGGCGGAGCAUGCGGAUUAAUUCGAUGCAACGCGAAGAACCUUACCAAGGCUUGACAUUCACCGGACCGCCCCAGAGAUGGGGUUUCCCUUCGGGGCUGGUGGACAGGUGGUGCAUGGUUGUCGUCAGCUCGUGUCGUGAGAUGUUGGGUUAAGUCCCGCAACGAGCGCAACCCUCGUUCUAUGUUGCCAGCACGUGAUGGUGGGGACUCAUAGGAGACUGCCGGGGUCAACUCGGAGGAAGGUGGGGAUGACGUCAAAUCAUCAUGCCCCUUAUGUCUUGGGCUUCACGCAUGCUACAAUGGCCGGUACAAAGGGUUGCGAUACUGUGAGGUGGAGCUAAUCCCAAAAAGCCGGUCUCAGUUCGGAUUGAGGUCUGCAACUCGACCUCAUGAAGUCGGAGUCGCUAGUAAUCGCAGAUCAGCAACGCUGCGGUGAAUACGUUCCCGGGCCUUGUACACACCGCCCGUCAAGUCACGAAAGUUGGUAACACCCGAAGCCGGUGGCCUAACCCCUUGUGGGAGGGAGCCGUCGAAGGUGGGACUGGC
This 1400-nucleotide ribosomal RNA is filed under the name Kocuria rosea. RNAcentral's name for it is "bacterial SSU rRNA". It matches the Rfam family "Bacterial small subunit ribosomal RNA". Lineage: Bacteria; Bacillati; Actinomycetota; Actinomycetes; Micrococcales; Micrococcaceae. The record is from RNAcentral.